Molecule: ribosomal RNA, 379 nt
Filed under: Crematogaster aurita
Lineage: Eukaryota; Metazoa; Arthropoda; Insecta; Hymenoptera; Formicidae
Description: partial 12S ribosomal RNA
Source: RNAcentral
UUAUUAAACUAGGGAUUGAUACCCUAUUAUUCUAAAUAAGAUAUAAUAUACAUUGGAGAUUAAAUGUUAAUCAUUAAAUUUAAAUAAUUUGGCGGUAUCUUAGAGAGUUAGAGGAAUCUGUUAAUUAAAUGAUAAUCCACGAUAGGGGUGUCCUAAUAUAUUUUUAUGUAUUGUUGUUUUAAUGUUGAUUUAGGAGAAUUUAAUAGAGAUUUAGAAUAUUAGUAUAAUUCAAAUCAAAGUGUAGAGUUGUUAGGUUUAAAUGGAUUACAAUUUAAUUUAAUAGUAGAGUUUAAGUUUUAAGUAUUUAAAUGAAAGAGGAUUUAAUAGUAAGAUGAUGGAAUAUUGUGAUCUGAAUAUUAAUUAAGAUAUGUACAAAUUG